RNAcentral lists this transfer RNA (72 nucleotides) under Camelus bactrianus (Bactrian camel). It matches the Rfam family "tRNA". Rfam says of the family: Transfer RNA (tRNA) molecules are approximately 80 nucleotides in length. The record is from Rfam by way of RNAcentral. RNAcentral also lists the same sequence under 1 other name. Lineage: Eukaryota; Metazoa; Chordata; Mammalia; Artiodactyla; Camelidae.
GGGCGUAUAGCUCAGUGAUACAGUGUAUGUUUAGCAUGCAUGAAGUCCUGGGUUCAAUCCCCAGUACCUCCU